Pelodiscus sinensis (Chinese soft-shelled turtle) is the source of this 3522-nucleotide non-coding RNA. NCBI's taxonomy places the organism in Eukaryota, Metazoa, Chordata, Testudines, Trionychidae. The record is from RefSeq and is a predicted model, not a curated record.
UUGGCUGAGACCAGUUAGUAACUUAAAAAUAUCUGGCACCAUGAAUUUUUAAGCAAAAUUGUGCCUCAUUAAAUUGAGCUUCUCAUGUUCUCAUUUGUCAUGUCACUUUCUAUAUAUAUUUGCCAUAUAUAUGCUAAAGAUCAUUAAAAUGCAUUUGUACAGACAUUUUUUUCCUCUCUAGUUACUUAUGUCAUCUGUGAUGGAAAGGAGGAGUGCUGGCCAACACUCGGUGACUAAAGGUGACUAAACUCAGGUAGCCAGGAGGUGUUGGCAGGGAGCCAGAAGAACCAAUGGAGUACAGUGCUGAAAUUUGAAUGCUCCUACCGAAAUCAAUGAAAAUGUUGGGUUUCCAGGAAUGCGGGAUUGGGCCUACAGAGGCUAAGUAUUCUUCUUAUAUAUUUUUUGACUUGCCAUUAUUUCUAAACAAAAAUAAAAUUCUGAUAUUGCUCCACCCAAGAUCCAGGACAGGACUCUGAUUUCAAUGGGAGAAGGUCUGAAAUUAGCAGUAACAGUUUUGUAAAUAUAGCUGUGUGACCAUGUUAGCCAGUGUCCCCAUGUUCUCUGGAGUCUGUAUGCAAAAUGGAAGAACAGUACCAAAGGCACAACAUUUUCUCUUUCAUCUUUUCAGGGCAUUCACUUACAAGUCUCUUUGAUCCAGCAUAAUUUUAAUUCUGUCCAUUUAUACACUUUUGCUGCCCACCCCUUCACAAAAUAGGAUUUUAGUUUCUUCUGUUAGUACAGGUGUUUUGAUAUAUAUGGUAAUACAACAGAUAUAAUCUGUAGAUACAGACAUUCACAACCACUUCUAAAUCAAAAUAUCUGUCUGGAUUUUACACCAUACAUCUCACCAUGAUCCCUGGCAAUGUUCCCUCCAAUAUUUUCCAUCCAUACACAAUACAUUUUAUUAUGUGUACCAAGGCAUGUGCAGAUAUAGAAACACAUACUACCAUCUGUGAGCAGUUGCAGGCACUCUAUUAAUGAGAGGGAAAGGGGCAUGCAAGUGCUCAACUUACAGAGAACUCUGGUCCCUGGGUAUCCAAGUUAAGUAGAUCAGUCAAUGUGGAGUUUGAAACAAAUCUUUCUUUUUAUUUAUUUUUUUAAUAAAAUGUACAAAUAUAUCUGGAGUUUUUGUCCUUUUUGCCAAUGGUUAAUUUGUGCUAGGGCUUGCCAGGGCUGAACCUCAGACCUCGAGGCUUGGCAGUUCUGGCUUGUUGCAUCAGUUAUGAAUGUAAGAAAAUCGCUUGAGCCUUAGCACUUCUUUCAUUACAAAUGACACACUGCUUUCCUCCCUCUUAUUUGACCUGACUGUAUUCUUGGAACACAGGUAGGGGAGGAUUUUCAAGAGCACCCUGUGUUAGCUUCACUCUGCUCCUGUUGAAGUCAAGUGGAACCAUGACCUUCACAAUGUAGAGUGAGACCAAUACUUGUGAUGUCCCGCUGAAGAUGUAUGGGAUAUAUUGAUAUAUAAACACUCAGGAUUCAAGAAACUUUUCCUUUUAUUCCAUAAUAGUCUUCUGCUGGGUUUCUUACACCUUCCUUUAAAGUAAUUAGUGCUAGCCAAUGUUGGAGACAGUAUACCAGGACUAGAAGGACCACUGAUAUGAUCCAAUAUAGCAGUUCCUAUGUUCCCUUGUUAAAGGCAUAGGAAACUAAGCAUGACUUUGAGCAUUUCCAUAAAGUCAACUGGGACCAAAUCCUCAGAUUUUUACCACCUGCCAUGCCUGCUUAAGCAGUGCCUUUGGAGCUGGCUCUCAGUGGGGCUAGUUCCAAGAAGCAGGAAAGGCAAGGCAGAAUCAAUAAAAGGGCUCAACUCAAAUAAUCAGGACAAUCACAUCUCAGACUUUAGGAUAAGAACAGCUUUUCAUAUUAUUUUCAUUCUUCAGGGUUGGGGAAUUUAAUAACAGAACAUUCAGCAUGGCCUAGAGGAUUUGUGGCUUGUAUUUAUGUAUGAGAGAGUAUACUUUUUGCUUCUGUUUUUAAUUUUAAAAGUUAUGUUCUUUAUCUGGGUUGCAUUAGAAUCGAGUCUCUAAAAAUCAGUCAAUUGGCUUUACCAAACUGUUCAUCAAAAAGGGAGAAUGUAGAAUACAUCAGGCUCGAUUCUAAGCUGCUUCUUGUAAUGAGUUACUUAUCAACUCUACUCCAUGUGUUUACAAGGUCACCAAAACCUAGAAAAGAUUCCAGUUAAUUCAACACCACUGGUGCUUUGUCCCAUUACUGAACAACUGCACAGGGUGAAAUCCUGGCUCCAAUGGAAUCAACUGAAGUGUUGCCAUUGACUUCAGUAAGACCAGCAUUUCACCUCAGAAUCUCAGACAGCAUGGAAGACCCUCUUUUGAAGAGCAAAAUGUCAUCUUCCAUUCAUACAUGACCUCAUAUGUGCUGCCAAUUUUUACCACUAGAGGAUUUAAACCAUUUGCAUAAAAAUAAUCACAAGCUUUUAUCUGCAUUAUUGGUAUUGAUCUUUUUAUGGAGUUUUUGUAUAAGCACUAAAUAUAAUUUUCCGUUAAUAUACUUGUUAGUAGUGUGUAUAUAUAAAGCUAAACAGAAAUAUUGGCUUGCAGACAAAUGGUUUUGUAGAAUAAUUAUUGAUCCUCUGUUAAUGUUGUAUCAUAUUUCUCAUUAGUGGAUGAAAUUCACCUCUGUGUAGAGGGCCAACCACCAAUUCUAUGCAUUCAUUAAAUGCCAAUGAACCCCUCAAAGGUAUUCAUUGGGUGUACAGAUAAUAUGCUGGUUCUCAGAGUGAAAUUAUGACUAAACAUCUUGAAUGGCACCCACUGAAUAUCUUUCAUUUAUUCGGUGAUUUGUACUAGCCUUAAGCACUCACAUAGCAACCAUUUAAGGUUAUCUAAUUUAAAAGAUAUCUCCAGUAAUACUCUUUAAAUGAUCUGUUUCUUACCAUACAUCAUCGAAGUUUGUUAUUGACUGGUUAUUAUCAAUUAUUUUUAGUAGUACCCACAGCUUGCCUUCUUUGUAUACAUUUGAAAAGGGUACAGUCCCUGCCUGAAAGAGUUCCCAGUCAAAGGAAACAAAUAUUAUUAUUUACUGGUAUUAUAGUAGCAUCUAUGGACCCUUAUUAUCUAUGGGCCAGGACCCAGCUUUGCUAGGAGCUCUACAAAUACAGGACAAAGAGACAGACUCUGCUAGAGAACAGCACAAGGAUAAGACAAGCAUGAUAAGCAGCUGUCACAGCACACUGGCUGCCUAACCACUGUCAAAAGCAGGCAGAGGUUAAAGGAAAGGGAAAAUCAAAAGAGAUAUUUACUACAAGUUAAUUAGAUUCACAGCAGACAUCAGCAGAAAAAUUUUUAAAACUCUUGCUGGACCAUUGUUUAGACUGCAAGCGUUAUAACUCAGCUACACUUCUGAUCUAAUUUUUAUUCUUCAGCCUGGACACUUUGCAUUUUAAAAAUGCAAGUUCUCAUUAACAGCUGAAUCAGAUGUGAUUUUAAAGAACAGUGGCUCUUGUAUAUCAACUUUUCUAUCUGUUUUCUUAAUUUCCAUAGUUCUUUAAAGAAGUCUGUA